GGCUUGGUAGCUCAGUUGGUAGAGCACUUGAUUGAAGCUCAAGGUGUCGGCAGUUCGAUUCNGGUCGUAGGUUCAAAUCCUGCCCCCGCAA
This 91-nucleotide transfer RNA is filed under the name Listeria monocytogenes. Its description in RNAcentral is "tRNA-Phe". It matches the Rfam family "tRNA". Rfam says of the family: Transfer RNA (tRNA) molecules are approximately 80 nucleotides in length. The record is from RNAcentral. Lineage: Bacteria; Bacillati; Bacillota; Bacilli; Caryophanales; Listeriaceae.